This 678-nucleotide ribosomal RNA is filed under the name Triticum aestivum (bread wheat). Its description in RNAcentral is "partial small subunit ribosomal RNA". The record is from RNAcentral. Lineage: Eukaryota; Viridiplantae; Streptophyta; Magnoliopsida; Poales; Poaceae.
AUGUCUGAGAUGAACAUGACCGGCGAGAUCCCAAAGGCAUACUCGAGCCUAGUGAACCUCCAGCUAAUUGCUAUAACCAAGAACGAUCUCACCGGCGAGAUCCCGGCAUGGGUCUGGCAGCGCCCAAAACUCGAGUACUUGUACCUGUUCGCCAAUGGACUCACCGGCAAACUACCGCGCAAAAUCAGGUCGGUGAAUUUGAUAGAGCUUGAUGUGUCGUCGAACCAUCUCACAGGAGAAAUACCAGAAGACAUUGGUAACCUCAAGAACCUGACCAUACUAUUCAUGUACACCAACCAGCUCACCGGCAUCAUUCCAGCAAGCAUAGCGAUGCUCCUCAAUCUUAGGGACAUCAGGCUACAUGAAAACAAGCUCUCGGGUGAGCUGCCGGUGGAGCUUGGGAAGCACUCGCCUCUCAGCAACCUCGAGAUUUCCAUCAACAACCUGUCUGGCCCGCUCCCAGAAUCAAUUUGCGCCAACGGGAUGCUCGACGACAUUGUGGUCUCCAACAACAGCUUGUCUGGCGAGCUCCCGAAAAACCUCACGGACUGCGUCCUGCUGAACAACCUCAUGAUCUCCAACAACAGCUUCCACGGCAAGUUUCCCGAGAAAAUUUGGUCAUUGCCGAAGUUGACCAAGUUGGUGAUAGAGAGCAAUGGUUUCACUGGGUUUUUACCG